GGUGCUGGCGGCCGCCGCCAUCUUCCUCUCCUCCGGCUCCUCCUCGCUUGGCGGGGGGGUGGGGGCACUGUCAUAGUGAAAGAGACAUAGUCCCUGUCUUGGAGGAACCAAGCUUCUGGAAGAGAUACCAGAGUAGAGAAAUGAUUAGGAUGCAAUAUUAUGGGUGCAAUAAUUAAGGUCACACCCCUGACCCCUCCCAAUGAUAUAAGAAUUUCCUCAUUUCUCUGGAAUGUGACCAGUCAGGAACCUCAACAUUUGCUUUUUUUUUUUUUUUUUUCCUAUUUAUGGGUGAAGAAGAAAAAGAGAGGCAGGAAAACUGAACUGAGAAAGAAGCAAGAAUAGGGAAAGAGAAAAAGAAAAAAGAAAACCAUGAAGUCUGAAGGAAAAGAAAGAAGAGAUGGAUGAGCAAAGAAGCACGCUGCCUGGUGGCAGUAAUAGUUGUUAGACACCUAUCUGUUAGAAUCUACUCUCCAUGAGAGAGAUUAAGAAGAGACAAGAUCCCCUGUCUAUCUUAAAAACAACAAAGGAACUUGACAACCUCUGAAAUAUACUUCCAGACUCAGCAAUCUCUCUCUUCUGAAUGGGACAUCCAUGGGUCUUUCUGCCUAUAAUCUGUGACAGUUGGAGAUGAUUUCAUUUAACGACCCUGUUCAAGGAGGCUGGUAUACACCAUGAGAAACUUUGUAUUGCCAUUUUGAAGACUCAUAUUCUCCAAAACAAAAUGUGUCAUUUGAAUUUGGCCUGUAGGUACAAAAUGGAAUGUCUCCCUACUCUGGUAAGAGUGAAAACAUCAUUUAGGGCCAGCCCCGUGGCUUAGCGGUUAAGUGCUCGUGCUCCGCUGCUGGCGGCCCAGGUUCGGAUCCCGGGCGUGCACCGACACACCGCUUCUCUGGCCGUGCUGAGGCUGCGUCCCACAUACAGCAACUAGAAGGAUGUGCAACUAUGACAUACAACUAUCUACUGGGGCUUUGGGGGAAAAAGUAGAUAAAUAAAUAAAAUUAAAAAAAAAUCAUUUAAAACAAAACGGUACAAGAUAGUGCAGUCCAGACAGUUGUUAAACUACUAUAUACUCUGCAGAAAGUCCUCUUUUACCCCUCAAGUGAUCUUGAGAUCACCAGGAGCCUUCUAACUAAAUCUAACAAUCUCUCUUAAUCUUGUAAGUUUUUAUUCUUUCAAACUUUCUGUUCCAUUGGGCGAUACUAAUCAUGUUUUCUUUACCGAAACUAUUUUUACCUUGAAUCCAAUGACAUUUUAAUUUUUUUUAUUCUACUACCUUAACCUCAUCUUUAAUUCAUUAUACUGCUAUGGCUCUAGGGAUAUUUCAUAAAUGCUUGGCUAUAAAAAUUCCCUAAGUGGAAAUAUAAUGGCAGGACUUGGUCACUUAUUGGAUGUGAAGGAAGGAGAGGAAGAAAUCAAGGAGACUCUCAGGUUUCUGCCUGGGAAACUGGAUGAAAAUAUAAAACAUAAGAGAAGAAAUAGUUUGGAGAGAGGUGUGGAUGUGUAGGUAAUGAAUUUGUUUUGGACAGGUUGAACUGCAGUUGUCUGGGAUUAAGAGAUCUUGUGGAUCUAGAGAACUCGAGAGAAAUCUGACCAGAGUUGUAGAUUCUGGAGACAUCAGCAUGUAGAUGGUAAUUAAAGAUACUUGAGUGGUUUCAGAAAGCUUGCCUAUGAAAUGAGAGAGCUAGGAGAGAUUCUGUCCCAUAAAGAGGUGAGAAACUUAAGCAGGAAAGAAUCCAGGAUAGAAAAAUAACAGAUGAGAGGCUAAGUAGAUAGGAAUGUGACUUCUGAGGAAAUUGGAGAAGAUAGAUUUUCAGGACACGAGUGCAGAGAGGGAAAUCUCUUUCUGGUGGAAUAAUACUGAGAUUGUAAUUGUGGAGUUUUCCUCCCCGCCUCGCAUGUUUUCUUUUAUCCCUUGCCCUUUUGGAUUUCAAAACUUAAGGUUACAAAGUUGCGUAGACUCUGAAGAAUUCAGGACAAAGACUGAUGGUUUAAGAGUAAGGCUUUCAGCACCAGAAUAUAUAAAAAAUUCCUCUAAUUGGUGUGUAUAGAAUAUCAGAGAGGAGAGCAAGAAACAAGCAGACUUGGUACUCUACCUCCCACCCCAAGCCAGGAGCCCUGAGGAGAUUUCUGGAGAUUCUAAAUAGGUUUCUGGCAUUGAGAAGAGAAGAAACCACAAUCCCCAUUACUGAGUAAAGCCAAAGAAGGUGGCAAGUCCACAGAGUUCCUCACAUCCAGAUGGCACAGGAAAAUAGGCAAAACGGUAUUGUGAGCUCACGCUUUGAAUUUCUACAUCUUCUCCAAGAACUUCAAUCAUAAAAAGAUUUUUUUUUUUAAAUUGCAAGACGUCUCUGGGUUCAUUAAAAAGAUAGUCAUCUCUGGGCAUCUGAAAUGAUACAGCAACGCAACUCUUAGUGGGUUUAGUGGGGCUAGCGCUGUGGCCCUGAUGGUCUUCUGUGUCUGGAAGCAGGUGAAGUUGGCUUUGAGUUUGACUCCUUCAGAGUCAUGGAGAUCAACAGCACCCUAUACAGGGUAUGGCAGCUUAGUCAGGCUCAUUGUGAAACUGGGAUUUGGGAAAAGCUAUGACUUCACCCUGAGCUAGAGUUUAAAAAACAAAACAGACAAACAAAACCCCCUGCUCAUCUGUGGUAGUAGAAGGAAGCAGAGAAAUCAGUGUAUACAAGACUUGUGCCAAUCUGCUUUCUGGCUCCAUAGACAGAUCUGCUAUCUUCCCCAAUAUCCCUGAGGGACAGAGUCCUGAGACACCUAGUUCUGGACUCGGGAUCUACGUGGAGGCUACCCUAAGACAGGAUUGGGGUGGAGUAGGUAGAAAGAUAAAGCUACCGCUUAAGAUGAGCUACAAAUUGUAAUUUGCACACAAGGCAAAUUAACACUAAAAAUAUUAGCCAACCUCUCAACUUAGUUUUUGUUUAAUUGAUCUGUGAGUUUCUAAUAAAGAUAUAUGAAAAAUUCCCAAUAUAGUUGUUGAUCUACUUACUUUUUUCUUGUAAUUCGAUUACUUUUUGUUUUAUUUCAUAGUUAUGUGGUUAGCUGGAUAGAACUUCUUGGCAAGUUUUAAUUUUUAUUUUUUAAUGUGUAAGUUUUUGUCGUUAUGUGAUAUCUCUGUCCUUGUUAAUACUUAUUUGCUUUAAAUUGUUUUAUCUGAUACUAAUAUUCUACUCCAACUGUCUUUUGGUUAGCAUUUGCUUGCUAUAACUUUCCUUUCUUUAUUUUCAACCUUUCUGUGUUAUUUCAUUACCGCACAUCUUUUGUAAAUAGCAUGCAACUAGGUUUUUGUUUUGUAAUCCUGACAGUCUCUGUUUUUUAACUGGAAAGUUCAAGUUAUAUGAGUAUGACCUACUUGAAAUGAUCUCUACCAUUUCUAACACGUACUUUUGAUUUUCUGUAUACAAUACUUUCUCCUUAUUUAUUUAUUUAUUUAUUUAUUUAUUUAUUUAUUGGUUUGUUUGCCUUUCCUACCUUUGUUGGGUUGAUAACUUUUUUUAAUUCCUUUUCUUUUACCUCUGCUGGUUUGGAAACUAUAGAUUAUAUUUUGUCUAUGCUAUAAGCAGCCACUUAAUUUUUACUUGAUUAAA
Diceros bicornis minor is the source of this 3593-nucleotide long non-coding RNA. RefSeq lists it as uncharacterized. The transcript has 3 exons. NCBI's taxonomy places the organism in Eukaryota, Metazoa, Chordata, Mammalia, Perissodactyla, Rhinocerotidae. The record is from RefSeq and is a predicted model, not a curated record.